UAUAAAUUUAUAUAGCUUGUAUUUAUAUAUAUGUGUUUGUGUUCGAUUAAAUUUCUGUUCAAAUAUUUAUUGAUUUAGUGCAUGUUCACUUGUGAAAUCCCGAGAAUCUCCUGUGCUAUUAGCCUUACAUUUGAGAUACGUGUUUCAGUCCUUCUAACAUGCUGUUCAUAUACAUGGGUAUUAAUGUCCAAGUACGCUACGGCUACCUGCAUGAGGGAUGGACGUCUGUUUUGCACGUUACACAAAGUGAAACCAGUAUUUAGAAAUAUGAGUGCUGUUCUGCAAGUGGAAAAUUUGUAACAAUAUGUAUCUAUGCACAGCAGUUCAGGUAACAAUGUCCAAGUACACUACGGCUACCUGCAUGAGGGAUGGACGUCUGUUUUGCACGUUACACAAAGUGAAACUGUAUUUAGCAAUCUGAGUGCUGCUCUGCAAGUGGAAAAUUUGUAACAAUAUGUAUCUAUGCAUAGCACAGGGAAAGAAAACUGACAAAAAUUUUUAUGACAUUUUACAUCUGUAGAAAUGACCUUCUUAACAGUAAGUCAAGUGAAUAACAUACCAUCCUAAGGAAGAACUAAGCACUCAAAAUUGCUUUAUUAUAUAAUGCCUCAAAGAUUUCCUAUAUAUCUAAAAAAUAAAUACAUGCUGACAUAAAGCCUUGACCAAUGCUUCUUAAAUAUAUAAAACCAACAGAAAGGUUGCAGAAACAAGUGUGAUGUGAAAGCUAAACGGCACACAUGAUGUUCUUGAGGUUUGGAUUCCCAAGUAGGAAGUCAUCGCAUUGUCCUGUAAUAUAGAGUGGAAUGUUUGCACGUGCUGUCGAGGAGCAGAAAUACUGGGAAAUAUGCCCUUUAAUGCUGUCCAUCAUAUCUGUCUUUGCAAGCUGCUAGUUGCAGUGAAAGUCCUAAUGAGAAAAAAAAAAAAAAAAAAAUGAAAACAGAAGCAAAUUGUAUCAUGAAAGCUAUUGCCGAUAGUAAAAUAUCAGCUGCUGAAUAUAAUAAAUCUAGGACCUUUUUCAGAUUUUAAUGAACAUAGGUUUUCUGUAUUUUGAAAUCUUGUGUAUAAAGAAAACAUCUUGAUUUUUUAAAAUUGAAAUACAGUGAUGUGUAACUUUAAAGAUGUUGUCCAUAUAUCACCAUCCAAGAAAAUGAGAGCUGAAGUUUUACUAACAUUCACUGUUUUGAAAAAAUAAAUAAAUAAAUAAAAUAAUUGUCACUCUUGAAGAAACAGGUUUCAAAGUAAUUGUUGUUAGUAACACUAAUUCCAUUAAUAUGUCCUGUAUAUCUUUAUUUAAUAAUCCAUUAUCAAAUUUUGUAUUUCCCCAUCCUGUUAGUGCAACUCGUCCAUUGUCUUAUGCAGUUCAACCGGGUCAUAUUAAAUGUCUUCGUAAAUUACUCUUGCAAUUUAAUUUAUUACGUUACAUUUAAAACAUUAAAAUUUGAUGGAACUGUAAUUAAAUGUGUUAUGUAAAUAAAUAAUUUUAAGGACUUCA
Stegodyphus dumicola is the source of this 1492-nucleotide long non-coding RNA. NCBI's taxonomy places the organism in Eukaryota, Metazoa, Arthropoda, Arachnida, Araneae, Eresidae. The record is from RefSeq and is a predicted model, not a curated record.